Long non-coding RNA from Trichomycterus rosablanca, 433 nucleotides. RefSeq lists it as uncharacterized. The record is from RefSeq and is a predicted model, not a curated record. Lineage: Eukaryota; Metazoa; Chordata; Actinopteri; Siluriformes; Trichomycteridae. The transcript has 3 exons.
CCAGCAUCAGUAAAUCACCAUGCAGCUCAGAGAGAGAUACAGGGGGUACCCAUCACCACCCUGCAGGGUGAUUCACGGCACUCCAGAGUCCAAAUCCGAGCCCCCGGACAUUCAAGGAAGGAGUUACACGCAGCCAAAAAACCCAGGAUAAGCGCGUCCAGUUGCCCAAUUGCGUCAUGCUUCCUCUCCACCAAUGCCGAACCCUGCUCCGAUUGAGGAGAACGAAGCUAACCCACGCCCCUUCCGACCCGUGGGCAGCAGCCGUAUGCAUUUUGUCUCCUACACUUUGAUGAGUGCAAUGCGGAUCAGCACUGUGUACGGAGAGACACACCCUGACAGCACUCUUUUCUCAUCUCUGUGCAGGCGCCAUCAAUCAAAUGAAUGUAACCAAAGUGUAAAACAUUUACAUGUUAAAAUCCAAUAAACAAACAAA